GUAUGGUCAAGCGACUAAGCGUAUACGGUGGAUGCCUUGGCAGCUGGAGGCGAUGAAGGACGUAGGAGCCUGCGAUAAGCCCUGGGGAGUCGGCACACAGACUUUGAUCCAGGGAUUUCCGAAUGGGGAAACCCACCUGUUUACAGGUAUCGCAUACUGAAUACAUAGGUAUGCGAGGCGAACCCGGGGAACUGAAACAUCUAAGUACCCGGAGGAAAAGAAAUCAACCGAGAUUCCCUGAGUAGCGGCGAGCGAAAGGGGAUUAGCCCUUAAGCUCUUUAUGUCUUAGUGGAAGGAUCUGGAAAGUUCCGCGAUACAGGGUGAUAGCCCCGUACACGAAAAGGCACAUUGAGUGAAAUCGAGUAGGUCGGGACACGUGAUAUCUUGACUGAACAUGGGGGGACCAUCCUCCAAGGCUAAAUACUCCCAGCUGACCGAUAGUGAACCAGUACCGUGAGGGAAAGGCGAAAAGAACCCCGGAGAGGGGAGUGAAAUAGAACCUGAAACCGUAUACGUACAAGCAGUAGGAGCCCUUCGGGGUGACUGCGUACCUUUUGUAUAAUGGGUCAGCGACUUAUUGUCUGUAGCAAGGUUAACCGCAUAGGGGAGCCGUAGAGAAAUCGAGUCUUAAUAGGGCGUUCAGUUGCAGGCAAUAGACCCGAAACCCGGCGAUCUAUCCAUGGGCAGGUUGAAGAUUGAGUAACAUCAAUUGGAGGACCGAACCCACUAAUGUUGAAAAAUUAGGGGAUGACCUGUGGAUCGGAGUGAAAGGCUAAUCAAGCCGGGAGAUAGCUGGUUCUCCUCGAAAGCUAUUUAGGUAGCGCCUCGCGUCUCACCCUCGGGGGUAGAGCACUGUUUGGGCUAGGGGGUCAUCCCGACUUACCAACCCCAUGCAAACUCCGAAUACCGAGGAGUGCAAUCGCGGGAGACACACGGCGGGUGCUAACGUCCGUCGUGGAAAGGGAAACAACCCAGACCGCCAGCUAAGGUCCCAAAUACCAGUUAAGUGGGAAACGAUGUGGGAAGGCCCAGACAGCUAGGAGGUUGGCUUAGAAGCAGCCAUCCUUUAAAGAAAGCGUAAUAGCUCACUAGUCGAGUCGGCCCGCGCGGAAGAUAUACCGGGGCUCAAACUGGUAACCGAAGCUGCGGAUGCACUAUGUGCAUGGUAGAGGAGCGUUGUGUAAGCCGUUGAAGGUGGAUCGGGAGGUCUGCUGGAGGUAUCACAAGUGCGAAUGCUGACAUGAGUAACGAUAAGGGAGGUGAAAAACCUCCCCGCCGGAAGACCAAGGGUUCCUGUCCAACGCUAAUCGGGACAGGGUUAGUCGGCCCCUAAGGCGAGGGCGAAAGCCGUAGUCGAUGGGAAACAGGUUAACAUUCCUGUACUUGCUAUUGCUGCGAUGGAGUGACGGAGAAGGCUAGGCCAGCACGGCGAUUGGUUGUCCGUGUUUAAGGUUGUAGGCUGGGGACUUAGGCAAAUCCGGGUCCCUAAGGCUGAGAGCUGACGACGAAGCCUACUUAGGUAGGUGAAGUGGUUGAUGCCAUGCUUCCAGGAAAAACUUCUAAGCUUCAGGCAAUAGUGAACCGUACUCGAAACCGACACAGGUGGUCAGGUAGAGAAUACCAAGGCGCUUGAGAGAACUCUGGUGAAGGAACUAGGCAAAAUGGUACCGUAACUUCGGGAGAAGGUACGCCGGCUUUGGUGAUGGGACUUGCUCCCUAAGCUGAGGUCGGUCGAAGUGACCAGGUGGCUGCGACUGUUUAUUAAAAACAUAGCACUCUGCAAACACGUAAGUGGACGUAUAGGGUGUGACGCCUGCCCGGUGCCGGAAGGUUAAUUGAUGGGGUUAGCUUCGGCGAAGCCCUUGAUCGAAGCCCCGGUAAACGGCGGCCGUAACUAUAACGGUCCUAAGGUAGCGAAAUUCCUUGUCGGGUAAGUUCCGACCUGCACGAAUGGCGUAACGAUGGCCACGCUGUCUCCACCAGAGACUCAGUGAAAUUGAAAUCGCUGUUAAGAUGCAGUGUACCCGCGGCUAGACGGAAAGACCCCGUGAACCUUUACUACAGCUUUGCACUGAACUUUGAGCCUACUUGUGUAGGAUAGGUGGGAGGCUUUGAAGCAGGAACGC
Molecule: ribosomal RNA, 2126 nt
Filed under: Microbulbifer yueqingensis
Lineage: Bacteria; Pseudomonadati; Pseudomonadota; Gammaproteobacteria; Cellvibrionales; Microbulbiferaceae
Description: bacterial LSU rRNA
Rfam family: Bacterial large subunit ribosomal RNA
Source: RNAcentral